Molecule: long non-coding RNA, 583 nt
Filed under: Nicotiana benthamiana
Lineage: Eukaryota; Viridiplantae; Streptophyta; Magnoliopsida; Solanales; Solanaceae
Description: long non-coding RNA (NBEN_LNC032580)
Source: RNAcentral
AACUUUCAAUUUGAGCUUACAUCAACACAUGGUUUUUAGAAUAUGUACCUGGUAUUGAAAAGAAGAGAUAUCAACAACUUGCUUUUUUAUUUCAUUUCAAACUUCAAACUUCCAAUUCGAGCUUACAUCAACACAUGAUUUUUAGAAUAUGUACUUGGUAUUAAAAAGAAGAGGAAGAUUAGAAAUCAACAGGAUGGUGAAAGUACAUCAACAACAAUAGUAACAAACAGCAGUAGCUUCAAUACCUCAAUCCAGAAAAUCCCAGCAAUACAGAGAAAAAGAGAAGAAAAAUAUUUUGAAAAUCUCUCUUUGUUUCUCUUUCUAGCUUUGAACUCUCUUCAACUCUCAAAAAUUAAACUCUGCCCGUAUAUACUUUUGUACCAUAUAUCGACUGUAUACUUCUGAAAACUCCAAAGACUAAAUUCUGUCUGUGUAUACUGCUAUAUCCAUAGUGUAUAUCAAGUGUAUACUGCUCUCUUCUCUCCCUUAUUUUUUCUUCUCCUCCUCUUUUUUCCUCAGAUUUUCCCGUUUUUUCCUCUUAUCUCUCUCUCUUCCUUCUCUCAAACUCCUUUUUAUAAGUAAA